UGAAGAAGAAGAACAGACGUAAACAAUGAGUACGUCGCAGAGAUUCAUUCAAACGAGAGGUCCACUGACGGUUCAACCACAGCGUCAGAAAUGCCGAUAUGGAGGUGGACUACAAGUAGAACCACAAAAAUCUCAAACGCAAAUUGAAAUUCAUGGUUUAUGAGUAGGAGUGUUUUCAGGAAGUGCUCAGAAGAUCCCAGAAGAAGCUGCUCAAAGUGUCCAGAGAUAAAAGUUUUCUGUUGGACCGAUUGUUACAGUACGAGCGGGUGGACGAGGACUCCUCAGAUUCUGAUGCCACAGCCUCUUCUGAGAACAAUGAAGGAGAGGGCACCAGGGAGAGGGAGAGAGACGGAGGAAAGAAGAGAAGUAGCCCUGGCAUAGGCCUUCCUUCAUCCUCCCAUCUCUCUCUCCUCUCUCGUUCUGGAGUGAACCCUCUCCAGUCGUCCGGCAGUACCCCGUACCUCAACACAGUGAGUUAUUAUCGCCUUCCCCUCACUGAAUCUAUACAAUCAAUAACUAUAACAUCAUUGAUUGUUGCCAUUAUCGUUUUCUCAUUACCGAAGAUAAUCACUGUUUUGAUUUGGGGCAUUAUUAAUAUUGUUUUAUUAUAUGUUUACUGUAUCUUUUGCUGUCUAUCAUGUUUUAUUUUUCGGGACUGUACCUACAGUGUGUGUGUGUGUGUAUGUUUGUUUUGGAAAUUGUCACUGUGUGUGUGUGUGUGUGUGGUGGGAAGUUGCCCUUCCCACCAGAGUAUUUGCCUCCACCAGCUGAGAGAAUGAAGAAAGAGAGAAAGACAAAGGCGCCCAAACACAAGAAAGAGACAUCGGGGAAGGUGGUGGCCCCUUUAGCAGCCAACAACCCAACGGGCCCGACUGCCCCUCCCACAUCCAGCGCCUCGUUCAACUGGGUGCCCAGGCAGAUGCUGAGUGGAGACGCGGCGGAGGAGGAGGGAGAGAGUGACGGAGACUCAGACAGUGGAGACAACGCCAGGGGGGAAGGAGAAGAGGCUGACCUUGUCAUCGAUAUCCCCAACAAGUGAAGUGAAGUGUGUGUGUGUGUGUGUGUGUAAAGGAUUGUUUGAAAGAGUGUGUAAGACCAUAAUGUGACUCUGUGGAUUCAACCCCUCCCACUGUCAAAUGCUUAGCCAAGCUCCCCCCAGUGGACCUUCAGGUUACUGCAACAAUAUCUCUCUAAGCAAUGUGACCUGUCAUAAUAAUGUUACUAAUUGACUCCUUUAAUGUAAUUUUACUGCCUUCUACUGUUAUACAAGUCAUGGAAGAAAUGGUAUUGAAGGCAUGGACAGCUACAGGACUGCAUACAUGUAGCACCUACCUUUUUAUAGGAAACUGUCAAAUAAUGAAUUUUCUGUUGGAGAUAAUGGAGAUGUUAUGUUUUCUACCAAUGACUUUUCAAAAUGUAAUUGCAUUAAAUUAGUAACAUUUC
Salvelinus namaycush (lake trout) is the source of this 1443-nucleotide long non-coding RNA. RefSeq lists it as uncharacterized. Lineage: Eukaryota; Metazoa; Chordata; Actinopteri; Salmoniformes; Salmonidae. The transcript is spliced from 7 exons. The record is from RefSeq and is a predicted model, not a curated record.